Molecule: long non-coding RNA, 619 nt
Organism: Alosa alosa (allis shad)
Lineage: Eukaryota; Metazoa; Chordata; Actinopteri; Clupeiformes; Clupeidae
Exons: 3
Source: RefSeq, a predicted model, not a curated record
CCACUCUCUGGUCCGCGCAUGGUGAACAUCAAUCGGGCAACACCCACAUUUUCCCCUCCAUGAUCUGCUCGCACUCUACAAGAAAUAGCACAAGGAACUGCAGUAGCAAGAGGUACUUGGGGCAUGGAACAGAGUAUGUGCGCCUUACAACACAUCCCAGCUGAGUCAUCCUUGACACAACCCCAAGGCUGUCCACUCUGUGCAUUGCUGCCCUGAUGCGAUCCCACUGAACCUGAUGGCCUAGUCUUCCAAGUGCUCCCCUCAUUGUUCUGUAGCCUGAGUGUGGCCACCACUGUUUUACCUGAGACACCAGUUCAUCAAGCUCAGCAUCUGAACACCUACUGUACUGAGCUCGCUUGCCAGGCAGGUUAUGGGCAGCCAUGGAUCUAUACAGUGUUGCACGGGACACCCCCAGAAAGUUGGCAAUUGUGAUCACUGGGUGUCCGUUUUCCAUCAGAUGCUGUACAUAAUCCAUAUUGAUUGCGAUUUUUGGUCGCCCACUCCUAGGACAUCUUUCAAAAUGAAUUGGCAUUGGGACCUGGGAUCAUAGAGCUGCUAUCAUACCUGGCUAACACUCGCAGACGUCGAGUCAACACCUGCUAACGUCUGUAUACUGACC